This 460-nucleotide ribosomal RNA is filed under the name uncultured bacterium. RNAcentral describes it as "partial 16S ribosomal RNA". It matches the Rfam family "Bacterial small subunit ribosomal RNA", at positions 338 to 795 of the family's 1533-position model. The record is from RNAcentral.
CCUACGGGAGGCAGCAGUGAGGAAUAUUGGUCAAUGGGCGCUAGCCUGAACCAGCCAAGCAGCGUGAAGGAUGACUGCCCUAUGGUUUGUAAACUUCUUUUAUAUGAGAAUAAAGUCCGGUAUGUAUACCGAUUUGCAUGUACCUUAUGAAUAAGGAUCGGCUAACUCCGUGCCAGCAGCCGCGGUAAUACGGAGGAUCCGAGCGUUAUCCGGAUUUAUUGGGUUUAAAGGGAGCGUAGGCGGGUUGUUAAGUCAGUUGUGAAAGUUUGCGGCUUAACCGUAGCAUUGCAGUUGAUACUGGCAGCCUUGAGUACGGUAGAGGUAGGCGGAAUUCGUGGUGUAGCGGUGAAAUGCGUAGAUAUCACGAAGAACUCCGAUUGCGAAGGCAGCCUGCUGGACUGUAACUGACGCUGAUGCACGAAAGUGUGGGUAUCAAACAGGAUUAGAUACCCUUGUAGUC